AGAAGAACUAGAAGAAGAAGUAGAAGAAAAAGAAGUAGAAGUAGAAGUAGAAGAAGAAGUAGAAGAAAAAGAAGAAGAAGAAGAAGUAGAAGAAGAAGAAGACUACGCUCAAAAUGCGGGACCUUCCGGAUGAGUCUAAAAUAAGUCGUUAAGCAAAAUUCAAUCUUUGAUACACCUAGAAAACAUAAACUAAGAGAAAAGAUAAAAAAAACAGGAACUUUAUUUAAAAAAAAAAUUAAAUCAUUACAGCGAAGAGCUAGAUGUCUUUAAAACAGGAACUUGCCCUUCAGAGGAAUCAUCAAUUACUUAAAAACGCAAUUUUCGUUGACACAGAUUUAUAUAAUUCAUUAAAUCAAAACAUGGCUGCAAUAGAUUUA
RNAcentral lists this unclassified non-coding RNA (377 nucleotides) under Melitaea cinxia (Glanville fritillary). Its description in RNAcentral is "misc RNA ENSMCXG00005011943.1". The record is from RNAcentral. Lineage: Eukaryota; Metazoa; Arthropoda; Insecta; Lepidoptera; Nymphalidae.